AUCCAAAAGAUCGGCAACGGAUAUCUCGGCUCUUGCAUCGAUGAAGAACGUAGCGAAAUGCGAUACUUGGUGUGAAUUGCAGAAUCCCGUGAACCAUCGAGUCUUUGAACGCAAGUUGCGCCCGAAGCCUUUAGGCCGAGGGCACGCCUGCCUGGGUGUCGCACAUCGUUGCCCCC
RNAcentral lists this ribosomal RNA (176 nucleotides) under Amphithalea speciosa. RNAcentral's name for it is "5.8S ribosomal RNA". The stretch from base 6 to 161 matches the Rfam family "5.8S ribosomal RNA". Rfam says of the family: 5.8S ribosomal RNA (5.8S rRNA) is a component of the large subunit of the eukaryotic ribosome. Lineage: Eukaryota; Viridiplantae; Streptophyta; Magnoliopsida; Fabales; Fabaceae. The record is from RNAcentral.